This 262-nucleotide ribosomal RNA is filed under the name uncultured archaeon. RNAcentral describes it as "partial 16S ribosomal RNA". It matches the Rfam family "Archaeal small subunit ribosomal RNA", at positions 748 to 1014 of the family's 1478-position model. The record is from RNAcentral.
UAGCCGUAAACGAUACUCGCUAGGUGUCGGCCACGGUGCGACCGUUGUCGGUGCCGUAGGGAAGCCGUGAAGCGAGCCACCUGGGAAGCACGGCCGCAAGGCUGAAACUUAAAGGAAUUGGCGGGGGAGCACAACAACGGGUGGAGCUUGCGGUUUAAUUGGAUUCAACGCCGGAAAUCUUACCGGGACCGACAGCAACAUGAAGGCCAAGCUGAAGACUUUGCCGGAUUAGCUGAGAGGAGGUGCAUGGCGUAGUCCGUGU